This is a long non-coding RNA of Homo sapiens (human), 873 nucleotides long. Ensembl annotates it as TAT antisense RNA 1. Its record names the gene TAT-AS1. The record is from Ensembl. NCBI's taxonomy places the organism in Eukaryota, Metazoa, Chordata, Mammalia, Primates, Hominidae.
AGAAGAAACUGGGUGGCUGAAGGACAGGAAUGAGAAAGAAGGACAGUUGCGUUUGUUUGUAUCGUUUGAAAUUGUCCAGUGUGUAUGUGUUCUUUUCAAAUGUUUGAAGAACCAUUGGCUCCCUUAUCAAAAUAGAUCUUUGGGGGCUUGGAUGGAGGAACAGGAAAAGAGGAGCCAGGCUUUUUUGGAAAAUUGGCGGCAGCGGUGGCAUACGGGAAACUGAAAUCUUUAUCUAAUCUCAUCCUUUGUAUAUUCGUCUUGGAUUUGCUGAAGAAAAUUAAAAGGCCAGGCCUACCACUCCUAUGGCACAGUAUUGAUGAGAGACAUCAGUGGAGCUCCCCACCUCCACCCCAGGCUUGGAACUUAGGGAAUGACUGGUUUUUGUCAUUUCACACAACAGCUGAAGGAUUCUGUCCCCACCUCGUCCUCUGUGAAGUCUGCUGGACGUACCUGCCAGAAUCUUCUGAAGAUGACGUUUGCUGAACACUGACCCACAGGGGUUUGAUGGAUUAUUGACAAUGAGACAAGCUGUCUUUUCAUCAAUUAGAUAUUCCAGUUGUUUCAGGUCAAUUUCCCAAGAUUUCUCUGGCUGGAGAGAAAGAAAGGAUGAGACUAAGAUGAUUCUGAAACAUUUAGGGGGAAUCCUCACUUAUCUCAAGGGUCCAAUGUAAGCAAUAAAGUCUGUCUCUGGCUUCAACCACCACUUUGAGACCUUCCUCUGCUGAAGUAAUGUUCAUAUAUUUUUUACAGGGAGUCAAGCCUCCAGUGGGGUUGAAUACAGUAGUCCCCCCUUAUCCACAGGGAGCACACUCCAAGACCUCCAGUGGAUGCCUGAAAUUAUGGAUGUCUGAAACCAUGGGUAGUACUGAGCCC